UGGUUCUGGCAUCGAUGAAGAACGCAGCGAAAUGCGAUAAGUAAUGUGAAUUGCAGAAUUCAGUGAAUCAUCGAAUCUUUGAACGCACAUUGCGCCCAUUAGUAUUCUAGUGGGCAUGCCUGUUCGAGCGUCAUUUCAACCCUUAAGCCUAGCUUAGUAUUGGGAAUCUACUGUAUUGUAGUUCCUCAAAUCCAACGGCGGAUCUGUGGUAUCCUCUGAGCGUAGUAAAUUUUUAUCUCGCUUUUGUUAGGUGCUGCAGCUCCCAGCCGCUAAACCCCCUAAUUUUUAAUGGUUGACCUCGGAUCAGGUAGGAAUACCCGCUGA
Molecule: unclassified non-coding RNA, 324 nt
Filed under: uncultured fungus
Lineage: Eukaryota; Fungi
Description: partial contains 5.8S ribosomal RNA and internal transcribed spacer 2
Rfam family: 5.8S ribosomal RNA (bases 1-133)
Source: RNAcentral